AACGAACGCUGGCGGCAUGCCUAACACAUGCAAGUCGAACGAGACCUUCGGGUCUAGUGGCGCACGGGUGCGUAACGCGUGGGAACCUGCACUUAGGUUCGGCAUAACUCCCCGAAAGGGGUGCUAAUACCGGAUAAUGUCUUCGGACCAAAGAUUUAUCGCCUUUGGAUGGGCCCGCGUUGGAUUAGCUAGUUGGUAGGGUAAAAGCCUACCAAGGCGACGAUCCAUAGCUGGUCUGAGAGGAUGAUCAGCCACACUGGGACUGAGACACGGCCCAGACUCCUACGGGAGGCAGCAGUGGGGAAUAGUGGACAAUGGGCGAAAGCCUGAUCCAGCAAUGCCGCGUGAGUGAUGAAGGCCUUAGGGUUGUAAAGCUCUUUUACCCGGGAUGAUAAUGACAGUACCGGGAGAAUAAGCUCCGGCUAACUCCGUG
This 433-nucleotide ribosomal RNA is filed under the name uncultured bacterium. Its description in RNAcentral is "partial 16S ribosomal RNA". It matches the Rfam family "Bacterial small subunit ribosomal RNA", at positions 29 to 507 of the family's 1533-position model. The record is from RNAcentral.